Molecule: ribosomal RNA, 218 nt
Filed under: uncultured bacterium
Lineage: Bacteria
Description: partial 16S ribosomal RNA
Rfam family: Bacterial small subunit ribosomal RNA
Source: RNAcentral
UACAGAGGGUGCGAGCGUUGUCCGGAAUCACUGGGCGUAAAGGGCGCGUAGGUGGCGCGACAAGUCAGUGGUGAAAGUUCGACGCUCAACGUCGAAUCGGCCACUGAUACUGUUGGGCUUGAGCACUGUAGAGGCUAAUGGAAUUCCGGGUGUAGCGGUGGAAUGCGUAGAGAUCCGGAAGAACACCGGUGGCGAAGGCGGUUAGCUGGGCAGUUGCU